Ipomoea nil (Japanese morning glory) is the source of this 262-nucleotide long non-coding RNA. RefSeq lists it as uncharacterized. The record is from RefSeq and is a predicted model, not a curated record. The transcript has 4 exons. NCBI's taxonomy places the organism in Eukaryota, Viridiplantae, Streptophyta, Magnoliopsida, Solanales, Convolvulaceae.
UCUUGAAGAGUAAGAAAUGCACUGAAAUGAUUUUUUUCCAAUUUCACUUGAAGCCAGCAAAUAACAAGGUGAAUGGAUUGGUUACUCUUUGAAUAAAACCUCUUAGAAAAUUGAACAAUAAUUCAGAAACUACAUCUUAUAUAUAUAUAGUCCAGUGGCAUAUAAGUAACAUAAAAUUUGAACAUGGAACUAAGAUUCUAUAUAAGAGGUCCAAGAUUGAUCCUCAUACAAAAACAGUGUAUAUAUACAAUAUACAUAUGCA